GGAUGGUUGUCCGAGCGGCCGAAGGAGCCGGUCUUGAAAACCGGUGCGCGGUGACCCCGUGCCGCGGGUUCGAAUCCCGCACCAUCCG
RNAcentral lists this transfer RNA (88 nucleotides) under Micrococcus sp. RNAcentral describes it as "tRNA-Ser". It matches the Rfam family "tRNA". From Rfam's summary of the family: Transfer RNA (tRNA) molecules are approximately 80 nucleotides in length. Their secondary structure includes four short double-helical elements and three loops (D, anti-codon, and T loops). RNAcentral also lists the same sequence under 3 other names. The record is from RNAcentral. Lineage: Bacteria; Bacillati; Actinomycetota; Actinomycetes; Micrococcales; Micrococcaceae.